GAUUAGCCCAAACCAAUAAAGUUUUCUUUAUUGGGGUUGCGGACAUAUCAUAACGGAGAGGUAUCGUAAUUGAAGAGGUUUGGAAAGACCCACCACAGAAGGUAAUAGUCCUGUAUGUUAAACGAGAAGACUUUAGAUAUGAUCCAGAGUACCACGGGACACGUGAAACCCUGUGGGAAGCAGGAGGGACCACCCUCCAAGGCUAAAUACUACCUAGUGACCGAUAGCGUAUAGUACCGUGAGGGAAAGGUGAAAAGAACCCCGGGAGGGGAGUGAAAUAGAACCUGAAACCCUGCACUUACAAGCUGUGGAAGCACAUUUCUUGUGUGACCGCGUACUUUUUGUAGAACGGGCCAACGAGUUACGUUAAGUAGCAAGGUUAAGCACUUAAGGUGUGGAGCCGUAGCGAAAGCGAGUUUUAACUGAGCGUUCAGUUACUUGACGUAGACCCGAAACCGGGCGACCUACCCAUGAGCAGGAUGAAGCGAAAGUAAAAUUUCGUGGAGGUCCGAACCCACGAGCGUUGAAAAGCUCGGGGAUGACUUGUGGGUAGCGGUGAAAUUCCAAUCGAGCCCGGAGAUAGCUGGUUCUCCCCGAAAUAGCUUUAGGGCUAGCCUCAAGGUGAGAGAUACGGAGGUAGAGCACUGAAUGUCCUAGGGGGUAUUGCACCUACCGAAGACUAUCAAACUCCGAAUGCCGUCAUCUUAUACUUGGGAGUCAGACUGUGGGUGAUAAGAUUCAUAGUCGAAAGGGCAACAGCCCAGAUCGUCAGCUAAGGUCCCUAAAUGUAAGUUAAGUGGUAAAGGAUGUGGGAUUGCACAGACAACCAGGAUGUUGGCUUAGAAGCAGCCACUCAUUCAAAGAGUGCGUAAUAGCUCACUGGUCGAGUGAUCCUGCGCCGAAGAUUUCCGGGGCUAAAACUUACUACCGAAGCUACGGCAUCAGUAAUGAUGGGUAGGGGAGCUUCCCAUACGGGUUGAAGCAUGACCGUAAGGACAUGUGGACAGUAUGGGAGUGAGAAUGUUGGCAUGAGUAGCGAGAUGUGGGUGAGAAUCCCACAGGCCGUAAACCCAAGGUUUCCAGGGGAAGGUUCGUCCGCCCUGGGUUAGUCGGGACCUAAGCUGAGGCCGAAAGGCGUAGGUGAUGGACAACAGGUUGAUAUUCCUGUAC
RNAcentral lists this ribosomal RNA (1170 nucleotides) under Clostridioides difficile. Its description in RNAcentral is "partial 23S ribosomal RNA". It matches the Rfam family "Bacterial large subunit ribosomal RNA", at positions 262 to 1444 of the family's 2925-position model. Lineage: Bacteria; Bacillati; Bacillota; Clostridia; Peptostreptococcales; Peptostreptococcaceae. The record is from RNAcentral.